CCUACGGGUGGCAGCAGUGGGGGAUAUUGGACAAUGGGGGAAACCCUGAUCCAGCGACGCCGCGUGAGUGAAGAAGUAUUUCGGUAUGUAAAGCUCUAUCAGCAGGGAAGAAAGAAAUGACGGUACCUGAGUAAGAAGCCCCGGCUAACUACGUGCCAGCAGCCGCGGUAAUACGUAGGGGGCAAGCGUUAUCCGGAAUUACUGGGUGUAAAGGGAGCGUAGACGGCAGCGCAAGUCUGGAGUGAAAUGCCGGGGCCCAACCCCGGAACUGCUCUGGAAACUGUGAAGCUGGAGUGCAGGAGAGGUAAGCGGAAUUCCUGGUGUAGCGGUGAAAUGCGUAGAUAUCAGGAGGAACACCGGCGGCGAAGGCGGCUUACUGGACUGUAACUGACGUUGAGGCUCGAAGGCGUGGGGAGCAAACAGGAUUAGAUACCCGGGUAGUC
This 443-nucleotide ribosomal RNA is filed under the name uncultured bacterium. RNAcentral's name for it is "partial 16S ribosomal RNA". It matches the Rfam family "Bacterial small subunit ribosomal RNA", at positions 338 to 795 of the family's 1533-position model. The record is from RNAcentral.